This is a long non-coding RNA of Lathyrus oleraceus (garden pea), 990 nucleotides long. RefSeq lists it as uncharacterized. Lineage: Eukaryota; Viridiplantae; Streptophyta; Magnoliopsida; Fabales; Fabaceae. The transcript is spliced from 2 exons. The record is from RefSeq and is a predicted model, not a curated record.
CUGUCAAAUACUGGAUAAGAUUAAUCCAUUAGAGGGAAUUUUCCUCGGAUCUUGUGGAGACCAAUUGCGAAUCUGAGUUUGUUAAGAGCAAAUCGAUUUUGUCUGUAGUGAGUGAGAGUUUUUUCUAUGUUUUUGUGGUCCUAUGGUUAUUCCAUAAUGGUGACCAAUAUGGAGGCGCAAGUUAAAAGUUCUGCUUGUGGGUUCUUCUACUUGAUAUUCUUCUGAUUUCCCUUCUGGUGUACCUGGUGUAGCAGCUGUUGUAACCAUGGUUUUUUUUGUUAAGCCCAACAUAAUCAAAAGGUGAGAUCUGUAGUUCUUAUGACAUUGUAUGUAUGCCUAAUUUUUACUAUAUUCUGAAUGUUUGUAUGCUAAAACCUUAUUUUUAUAACAAAUAAACAACGGGCAUCCUCCUCCAUGAUGAUAAUCCUAGGUGCCUUAACCAGUCAAAUAGGUUUUUCUCCUAUAAUCCACCUUUGUCUCCUCUCGAACGUCAGCUUGCCCACAAGUAUGAAUAUCGACUUUUUUAGGGUUCACACUUUGCCCUUUCCUCACUGUUCACAUUGUCUUGUAAUUUGAAACCAAAGUUUGCUGGAUGAAUUAUCUGAGUAGCGAGGGAACCGUGAACCGGUGAAAUAAUUCAUAUCAGGAUCAAAUUUGACAGAAAUUUGUAAAUAUGAUGAAAAGUAGCAACAACAACAUCAUCAUCGCCUAGGAAAGCUUUUCGUUCAGGAUGAUCGUUGUAGAGUGGUAAGGGAAGGAGGCAAAAACGAGAAGCACACAACAAAAUACUAAAAAAUGAGUCAUUUUUUUCUUGACUCAAACCAUGGGAUAUGUAGUAUUAUGUAUUGAACUCCAAGCUCUUACAGAUAUUCGUAAUGAGAUGUAAUGAUUAGUUAAUGUUUAUGUGUUAAAUGAGGAAAUUUUAAUGGAUUUUAUUGUAAUAUGUUUGUGAAUACUUAAAAUUUCAAAUCAAAGUUGGUGACACUCUUA